Molecule: non-coding RNA, 90 nt
Organism: Zasmidium cellare ATCC 36951
Lineage: Eukaryota; Fungi; Ascomycota; Dothideomycetes; Mycosphaerellales; Mycosphaerellaceae
Source: the annotation of a RefSeq genome assembly
UUUGAUAUAGUGGCUAGGAUUUGUCGCUCUCAUGAGUUUCUUGUAGACUCGAGGUCCGACAAGGCCGGGGUUCAAUUCCCCGUUUCGGAA